This 407-nucleotide ribosomal RNA is filed under the name uncultured Micromonosporaceae bacterium. RNAcentral's name for it is "partial 16S ribosomal RNA". It matches the Rfam family "Bacterial small subunit ribosomal RNA", at positions 355 to 774 of the family's 1533-position model. Lineage: Bacteria; Bacillati; Actinomycetota; Actinomycetes; Micromonosporales; Micromonosporaceae. The record is from RNAcentral.
UGGGGAAUAUUGCACAAUGGGCGCAAGCCUGAUGCAGCGACGCCGCGUGAGGGAUGACGGCCUUCGGGUUGUAAACCUCUUUCAGCAGGGACGAAGGGUGACUGACGGUACCUGCAGAAGAAGCGCCGGCCAACUACGUGCCAGCAGCCGCGGUAAGACGUAGGGCGCGAGCGUUGUCCGGAUUUAUUGGGCGUAAAGAGCUCGUAGGCGGCUUGUCGCGUCGACUGUGAAAACCCGCGGCUCAACCGCGGGCCGGCAGUCGAUACGGGCAGGCUCGAGUUCGGUAGGGGAGACUGGAAUUCCUGGUGUAGCGGUGAAAUGCGCAGAUAUCAGGAGGAACACCGGUGGCGAAGGCGGGUCUCUGGGCCGAUACUGACGCUGAGGAGCGAAAGCGUGGGGAGCGAACA